GCCGAUGUGGCUCAAUGGUAGAGCAAGCGCUUCGUAAGCGCUAGGUUGGAGGUUCGAUUCCUCUCAUCGGCU
This 72-nucleotide transfer RNA is filed under the name Candidatus Kappaea frigidicola. RNAcentral describes it as "tRNA-Thr". It matches the Rfam family "tRNA". From Rfam's summary of the family: Transfer RNA (tRNA) molecules are approximately 80 nucleotides in length. Their secondary structure includes four short double-helical elements and three loops (D, anti-codon, and T loops). Lineage: Bacteria; Pseudomonadati; Candidatus Omnitrophota. The record is from RNAcentral.